GACGAACGCUGGCGGCGUGCCUAAUACAUGCAAGUUGAGCGAUGAAGAUUGGUGCUUGCACCGAUUUGAAGAGCAGCGAACGGGUGAGUAACGCGUGGGGAAUCUGCCUUUGAGCGGGGGACAACAUUUGGAAACGAAUGCUAAUACCGCAUAACAACUUUAAACAUAAGUUUUAAGUUUGAACGAUGCAAUUGCAUCACUCAAAGCUGAUCCCUCGUUUUGUUGGCUAGUUGGUGAGGGAAAGGCUCACCCAGGCGAUGAUACAGAGCCGGCCUGAGCGGGAGAACCACCACAACUGGACUGAGAAAAGGGCCAAGAUUCCUCGGGAGGCAGCAGGAGGGGAAUAUCGGAAAUGGACGGAAGGCCGAACGAACAACGCCGGGUGGGGGGAGAAAGGUCUCGGGAUGGAAAACUCUGUUAGUAGGGGAGAAAGGUGGUGAGGGUAAUACGCUCAUGUAGUGACGGUACCUACAGAGAAAGCGACGGCUAACUACGUG
This 497-nucleotide ribosomal RNA is filed under the name uncultured bacterium. Its description in RNAcentral is "partial 16S ribosomal RNA". It matches the Rfam family "Bacterial small subunit ribosomal RNA", at positions 28 to 507 of the family's 1533-position model. The record is from RNAcentral.